AAAACUUUCAACAACGGAUCUCUUGGUUCCGGCACCGAUGAAGAACGCAGCGAAAUGCGAUAAGUAAUGUGAAUUGCAGAAUUCAGUGAAUCAUCGAAUCUUUGAACGCACAUUGCGCCC
RNAcentral lists this ribosomal RNA (120 nucleotides) under Protoblastenia calva. RNAcentral describes it as "5.8S ribosomal RNA". It matches the Rfam family "5.8S ribosomal RNA", at positions 1 to 118 of the family's 154-position model. Rfam says of the family: 5.8S ribosomal RNA (5.8S rRNA) is a component of the large subunit of the eukaryotic ribosome. It is transcribed by RNA polymerase I as part of the 45S precursor that also contains 18S and 28S rRNA. Functionally, it is thought that 5.8S rRNA may be involved in ribosome translocation. Lineage: Eukaryota; Fungi; Ascomycota; Lecanoromycetes; Lecanorales; Psoraceae. The record is from RNAcentral.